UACGGGGGGAGCAAGCGUUGUUCGGAUUUACUGGGCGUAAAGGGCGCGUAGGCGGUCAGCACAAGUCAGUUGUGAAAUCUCCGGGCUUAACUCGGAAAGGUCAACUGAUACUGUGCGACUAGAGUGCAGAAGGGGCAACUGGAAUUCUUGGUGUAGCGGUGAAAUGCGUAGAUAUCAAGAGGAACACCUGCGGCGAAGGCGGGUUGCUGGGCUGACACUGACGCUGAUGCGCGAAAGCCAGGGGAGCGAACGGG
Molecule: ribosomal RNA, 254 nt
Filed under: uncultured bacterium
Lineage: Bacteria
Description: partial 16S ribosomal RNA
Rfam family: Bacterial small subunit ribosomal RNA
Source: RNAcentral